GAUGUUGCGUGGGGAAGAUCCAGUUACUUUGAUGUGGUAAAGAUCAGACAUAUUGUCUCAACAUUU
Molecule: transfer RNA, 66 nt
Filed under: Arcuatula senhousia (Asian date mussel)
Lineage: Eukaryota; Metazoa; Mollusca; Bivalvia; Mytilida; Mytilidae
Description: tRNA-Ile
Source: RNAcentral